This 468-nucleotide ribosomal RNA is filed under the name uncultured bacterium. RNAcentral's name for it is "partial 16S ribosomal RNA". It matches the Rfam family "Bacterial small subunit ribosomal RNA", at positions 28 to 507 of the family's 1533-position model. The record is from RNAcentral.
GACGAACGCUGGCGGCGUGCUUAACACAUGCAAGUCGAACGGAACGGCCCUGCUUUUGUGUGUUGCUCGUGCGGCGAGCGGGUGAGUAACACGUGAGUAACCUGCCCUUGACUUUGUGGUAACUUCCGGAAACUGGGGCUAAUACCGGAUACAAGCUCCUGCUGCAUGGUGGGGGUUGGUAAUUUUCGGCGGUUGGAGAUGGUCUCGCGGCUUAUCAGCUUGUUGUUGGGGUAGUGGAUGACCACGGCUUUGACGGGUAGCCGGCCUGCGAGGGUGACCAGGCACCAGGGGCCUGAGAGAGGCAGCAGUCGGGAAUGGGAGGCAGUAGGGGGGAAUAUGGCACAACGGGCGCAAGCGUGUGGAAGAAACGCUGGGUGCGGAAAGACGUCCUGCUGGUUGAAAACAGCUGUCGCCUGUGACGAAGCGUGAGUGACGGUAACGGAUAAAGAAGCACCGGCUAACUACGUG